Molecule: ribosomal RNA, 1390 nt
Filed under: Streptococcus sp.
Lineage: Bacteria; Bacillati; Bacillota; Bacilli; Lactobacillales; Streptococcaceae
Description: bacterial SSU rRNA
Rfam family: Bacterial small subunit ribosomal RNA
Source: RNAcentral
CGCUGAAGAGAGGAGCUUGCUCUUCUUGGAUGAGUUGCGAACGGGUGAGUAACGCGUAGGUAACCUGCCUUGUAGCGGGGGAUAACUAUUGGAAACGAUAGCUAAUACCGCAUAACAAUGGAUGACACAUGUCAUUUAUUUGAAAGGGGCAAUUGCUCCACUACAAGAUGGACCUGCGUUGUAUUAGCUAGUAGGUGAGGUAACGGCUCACCUAGGCGACGAUACAUAGCCGACCUGAGAGGGUGAUCGGCCACACUGGGACUGAGACACGGCCCAGACUCCUACGGGAGGCAGCAGUAGGGAAUCUUCGGCAAUGGGGGCAACCCUGACCGAGCAACGCCGCGUGAGUGAAGAAGGUUUUCGGAUCGUAAAGCUCUGUUGUAAGUCAAGAACGAGUGUGAGAGUGGAAAGUUCACACUGUGACGGUAGCUUACCAGAAAGGGACGGCUAACUACGUGCCAGCAGCCGCGGUAAUACGUAGGUCCCGAGCGUUGUCCGGAUUUAUUGGGCGUAAAGCGAGCGCAGGCGGUUUGAUAAGUCUGAAGUUAAAGGCUGUGGCUCAACCAUAGUUCGCUUUGGAAACUGUCAAACUUGAGUGCAGAAGGGGAGAGUGGAAUUCCAUGUGUAGCGGUGAAAUGCGUAGAUAUAUGGAGGAACACCGGUGGCGAAAGCGGCUCUCUGGUCUGUAACUGACGCUGAGGCUCGAAAGCGUGGGGAGCGAACAGGAUUAGAUACCCUGGUAGUCCACGCCGUAAACGAUGAGUGCUAGGUGUUGGAUCCUUUCCGGGAUUCAGUGCCGCAGCUAACGCAUUAAGCACUCCGCCUGGGGAGUACGACCGCAAGGUUGAAACUCAAAGGAAUUGACGGGGGCCCGCACAAGCGGUGGAGCAUGUGGUUUAAUUCGAAGCAACGCGAAGAACCUUACCAGGUCUUGACAUCCCGAUGCUAUUUCUAGAGAUAGAAAGUUACUUCGGUACAUCGGUGACAGGUGGUGCAUGGUUGUCGUCAGCUCGUGUCGUGAGAUGUUGGGUUAAGUCCCGCAACGAGCGCAACCCCUAUUGUUAGUUGCCAUCAUUCAGUUGGGCACUCUAGCGAGACUGCCGGUAAUAAACCGGAGGAAGGUGGGGAUGACGUCAAAUCAUCAUGCCCCUUAUGACCUGGGCUACACACGUGCUACAAUGGUUGGUACAACGAGUUGCGAGUCGGUGACGGCAAGCUAAUCUCUUAAAGCCAAUCUCAGUUCGGAUUGUAGGCUGCAACUCGCCUACAUGAAGUCGGAAUCGCUAGUAAUCGCGGAUCAGCACGCCGCGGUGAAUACGUUCCCGGGCCUUGUACACACCGCCCGUCACACCACGAGAGUUUGUAACACCCGAAGUCGGUGAGGUAACCU